UACGUAGGGACCAAGCGUUGUUCGGAUUUACUGGGCGUAAAGGGCGCGUAGGCGGCUUGACAAGUCACUUGUGAAAUCUCCGGGCUUAACUCGGAACGGCCAAGUGAAACUGUCAUGCUAGAGUGCAGAAGGGGCAAUCGGAAUUCUUGGUGUAGCGGUGAAAUGCGUAGAUAUCAAGAGGAACACCUGAGGUGAAGACGGGUUGCUGGGCUGACACUGACGCUGAGGCGCGAAAGCCAGGGGGGCAAACGGG
This 253-nucleotide ribosomal RNA is filed under the name uncultured bacterium. Its description in RNAcentral is "partial 16S ribosomal RNA". It matches the Rfam family "Bacterial small subunit ribosomal RNA", at positions 524 to 776 of the family's 1533-position model. The record is from RNAcentral.